UCCCUGGUGGUCCAGUGGCUAAGACUCUGCUUGCAAUGCAAGUGGUCUGGGUUCAAUCCUUGGUCAGGGAA
This 71-nucleotide transfer RNA is filed under the name Bos taurus (domestic cattle). It matches the Rfam family "tRNA". From Rfam's summary of the family: Transfer RNA (tRNA) molecules are approximately 80 nucleotides in length. Their secondary structure includes four short double-helical elements and three loops (D, anti-codon, and T loops). RNAcentral also lists the same sequence under 1 other name. The record is from Rfam by way of RNAcentral. Lineage: Eukaryota; Metazoa; Chordata; Mammalia; Artiodactyla; Bovidae.